This 497-nucleotide ribosomal RNA is filed under the name uncultured bacterium. Its description in RNAcentral is "partial 16S ribosomal RNA". It matches the Rfam family "Bacterial small subunit ribosomal RNA", at positions 28 to 507 of the family's 1533-position model. The record is from RNAcentral.
GAUGAACGCUGGCGGCGUGCCUAAUACAUGCAAGUCGAGCGAACAGACGAGGAGCUUGCUCCUCUGACGUUAGCGGCGGACGGGUGAGUAACACGUGGAUAACCUACCUAUAAGACUGGGAUAACUUCGGGAAACCGGAGCUAAUCCCGGAUAAUAUAUUGAACCGCAUGGUUCAAUAGUGAAAGACGGUUUUGCUGUCACUUAUAGAUGGAUCCGCGCCGCAUUAGCUAGUUGGUAAGGUAACGGCUUACCAAGGGAACGAUGCGUAGCCGACCUGAGAGGGUGAUCGGCCACACUGGAACUGAGACACGGUCCAGACUCCUACGGGAGGCAGCAGUAGGGAAUCUUCCGCAAUGGGCGAAAGCUUGACGGAGCAACGCCGCGUGAGUGAUGAAGGUCUUCGGAUCGUAAAACUCUGUUAUUAGGGAAGAACAAAUGUGUAAGUAACUAUGCACGUCUUGACGGUACCUAAUCAGAAAGCCACGGCUAACUACGUG